AACGAACGCUGGCGGCAUGCCUAACACAUGCAAGUCGAACGAAAGCUUCGGGUCUAGUGGCGCACGGGGGCGUAGCGGGUGGGAACAUGCCCAUAGGUUCGGAAUAACUCCCCGAAAGGGGUGCUAAUACGGGCUAAAAUAUUCGGACCGAAGAUUUGUCGCCUUUGGAUGUGCCUGCGUUGGAUUAGCUAGUUGGUAGGGUAAAAGCCUACCAAGGGGACGAUCCAUAGCUGGUUUGAGAGGCUGAUCAGCCACACUGGGACUGGGCCACGGUCCAGACUCUUGCGGGAGGCAGCAGUGCGGAAUAUUGGACUACGGGCGGUAGCCUGAUGCAGCACUGCCGCGUGAGUGAUGAAGGCCUGAGGGUUGGAAAGCUCGUUUACCCGUGACGAUAAUGACAGUACCGGGAGAAUAAGCUCCGGCUAACUCCGUG
This 433-nucleotide ribosomal RNA is filed under the name uncultured bacterium. Its description in RNAcentral is "partial 16S ribosomal RNA". It matches the Rfam family "Bacterial small subunit ribosomal RNA", at positions 29 to 507 of the family's 1533-position model. The record is from RNAcentral.